Molecule: long non-coding RNA, 225 nt
Organism: Gorilla gorilla gorilla (western lowland gorilla)
Lineage: Eukaryota; Metazoa; Chordata; Mammalia; Primates; Hominidae
Exons: 3
Source: RefSeq, a predicted model, not a curated record
AAGGUGCCUGCUUCCACUUUGCCUUCUGCCAUGAUUGCAAGUUUCCUGAGGCCUCCCAGCCAUGCUUCCUGUUAAGCCUGUAAAACUGCCUUUAGAACUGGACUGGAAUUGUACUUUCCUGGGUCUCCAGCUUGCAGAUGGCAGAUUGUGGAACUUCUCAGCCUGCAUAAUCGUUCCCGCGCCUGCAUUCCAGAAACCUAGAAAUUCACAGAAGACUUGUCUGUG